CAAUAGGAGCGAGCGUCCGCAGCCGCGUCACCAGUGUCCAGGCAGAAGGAGGCGAGCGGGUUGGCGGCUGGAGAAGUGAAAGUCCAGGAGACGCGGGAUCCCCCAGGCUGGGCUUCCCCACCGCGGACCCUCCCGGUCCCGACCCGGAACUGUCCCCCUGUCCUCCAGACCCGCGGCCUGGAAACGUCGAGGGGGGAGUGACAUGGAUUCAGAGACCCUAAUGGAAACUCUCUUUUGACAAACGACCAACCCAUGGAGAACAGGAGAAGACAGAGGGAUGCUCAGAGACAAUGACCCUGAGCCUUGGAAGAAUUUCACUCUAGUCUGGACUGACCUGGAUCUCACUCUGCAGUCCAAGCUGGCCUUGAACUCGUGACAGUCUCUUUCUUCAAAGUCCCCAAGUGCUCAUGUCAUAGAUGUGAGCCAUCAUCAAGACCACUUUCCCCUCACAUUCUUCAAGCAAUGUAUA
Molecule: long non-coding RNA, 469 nt
Organism: Jaculus jaculus (lesser Egyptian jerboa)
Lineage: Eukaryota; Metazoa; Chordata; Mammalia; Rodentia; Dipodidae
Exons: 3
Source: RefSeq, a predicted model, not a curated record